RNAcentral lists this ribosomal RNA (254 nucleotides) under uncultured bacterium. RNAcentral's name for it is "partial 16S ribosomal RNA". It matches the Rfam family "Bacterial small subunit ribosomal RNA", at positions 524 to 776 of the family's 1533-position model. The record is from RNAcentral.
UACAGAGGGUGCGAGCGUUGUCCGGAAUCACUGGGCGUAAAGGGCGCGUAGGCGGUCGCUUAAGCGUGUGGUGAAAGCCCGGGGCUCAACUCCGGGUCGGCCAUGCGAACUGGGGGACUGGAGCUUGUCAGAGGCAGGCGGAAUUCCGGGUGUAGCGGUGGAAUGCGUAGAGAUCCGGAAGAACACCGGUGGCGAAGGCGGCAUCCUGGACCAACACUGACGCUGAGUGAGCGAAAGCCAGGGGAGCAAACGGG